Long non-coding RNA from Oncorhynchus tshawytscha (Chinook salmon), 267 nucleotides. The record is from Ensembl. Lineage: Eukaryota; Metazoa; Chordata; Actinopteri; Salmoniformes; Salmonidae.
AGGAGAAGGAGGAGGAUGAGAAGGAGGUGGUGCGGGAGGAAAAAGAGAAGGAGGUGGUUCAGGAUGAGGAGGAGAAGGAGGUGGUGCAGGUGGAAGAGGAGGAGGAUGAGAAGGAGGUGGUGCAGGAGGAAGAGGAUGAGAAGGAGGUGGUGCAGGAGGAAGAGGAGGAGGAGGAGAAGGAGGUGGUUCAGGAGGAAGAGGAGGAGGAUGAGGUGGUGCAGGAGGAAGAAGAGGAGAGGAGGUGGUGCAGGAGGAAGAGGAGGAGGA